This 270-nucleotide long non-coding RNA is filed under the name Zonotrichia albicollis (white-throated sparrow). RNAcentral describes it as "lncRNA (ENSZALG00000000634.1)". The record is from RNAcentral. Lineage: Eukaryota; Metazoa; Chordata; Aves; Passeriformes; Passerellidae.
UUAAAGGUGAAUUUUUAAGCCUGUUCUAGGCUGGGCUUUUCUUGCUCUCUGGAUUAAAGGUGAAUUUUUAAAGCAUCUUCUAGGCUGGGCUUUUCUUUGGAUUAAUGGUGAAUUUUUAAAGCCUGUUCUAGGCUGGGAUUUCCUGCUCUCUGGAUUAAAGGUGAAUUUUUAAAGCUUUUUUGUAACCAAAGAGCAGCUGGGCGUGGGGGAGCUCCUGCACCGUGUGUAAAGUGUGAGUAGCUCAGGCUGCCUCAAUAAAGUGUGAGAAGA